GACGAACGCUGGCGGCGUGCCUAAUACAUGCAAGUCGAACGAGAGCGACCGGUGCUUGCACUGGUCAAUCUAGUGGCGAACGGGUGAGUAACACGUGGGUAACCUGCCCAUCAGAGGGGGAUAACAUCCGGAAACGGAUGCUAAAACCGCAUAGGUCUUCGAGCCGCAUGGCUUGAAGAGGAAAAGAGGCGCAAGCUUCUGCUGAUGGAUGGACCCGCGGUGCAUUAGCUAGUUGGUGAGGUAACGGCUCACCAAGGCCGUGAUGCAUAGCCGACCUGAGAGGGGGAUCGGCCACAUUGGGACUGAGACACGGCCCAAACUCCUACGGGAGGCAGCAGUAGGGAAUCUUCCGCAAUGGACGCAAGUCUGACGGAGCAACGCCGCGUGAGUGAAGAAGGUUUUCGGAUCGUAAAACUCUGUUGUUAGAGAAGAACAAGUGCUAGAGUAACUGUUAGCGCCUUGACGGUAUCUAACCAGAAAGCCACGGCUAACUACGU
Molecule: ribosomal RNA, 497 nt
Filed under: uncultured bacterium
Lineage: Bacteria
Description: partial 16S ribosomal RNA
Rfam family: Bacterial small subunit ribosomal RNA
Source: RNAcentral